RNAcentral lists this ribosomal RNA (465 nucleotides) under Vreelandella stevensii. Its description in RNAcentral is "partial 16S ribosomal RNA". It matches the Rfam family "Bacterial small subunit ribosomal RNA", at positions 338 to 795 of the family's 1533-position model. The record is from RNAcentral. Lineage: Bacteria; Pseudomonadati; Pseudomonadota; Gammaproteobacteria; Oceanospirillales; Halomonadaceae.
CCUACGGGGGGCAGCAGUGGGGAAUAUUGGACAAUGGGGGGAACCCUGAUCCAGCCAUGCCGCGUGUGUGAAGAAGGCCCUCGGGUUGUAAAGCACUUUCAGUGAGGAAGAACGCCUGGUGGUUAAUACCCAUCAGGAAAGGCAUCACUCACAGAAGAAGCACCGGCUAACUCCGUGCCAGCAGCCGCGGUAAUACGGAGGGUGCGAGCGUUAAUCGGAAUUACUGGGCGUAAAGCGCGCGUAGGUGGCUUGAUAAGCCGGUUGUGAAAGCCCCGGGCUCAACCUGGGAACGGCAUCCGGAACUGUCAAGCUAGAGUGCAGGAGAGGAAGGUAGAAUUCCCGGUGUAGCGGUGAAAUGCGUAGAGAUCGGGAGGAAUACCAGUGGCGAAGGCGGCCUUCUGGACUGACACUGACACUGAGGUGCGAAAGCGUGGGUAGCAAACAGGAUUAGAUACCCGUGUAGUC